AGUUCAGAUUGCAGGCUGNAACCGCCUGCAUGAAGUCGGAAUUGCUAGUAAUCGCGGAUCAGCAUGCCGCGGUGAAUACGUUCCCGGGCCUUGUACACACCGCCCGUCACACCAUGGGAGCCGGUAAUACCCGAAGUCAGUAGUCCAACCUCGUGAGGACGCUGCCGAAGGUAGGAUUGGCGACUGGGGUGAAGUCGUAACAAGGUACC
Molecule: ribosomal RNA, 209 nt
Filed under: uncultured bacterium
Lineage: Bacteria
Description: partial 16S ribosomal RNA
Rfam family: Bacterial small subunit ribosomal RNA
Source: RNAcentral